RNAcentral lists this ribosomal RNA (306 nucleotides) under uncultured bacterium. RNAcentral describes it as "bacterial SSU rRNA". It matches the Rfam family "Bacterial small subunit ribosomal RNA", at positions 29 to 318 of the family's 1533-position model. The record is from RNAcentral.
AGCGAACGCUGGCGGCGUGCCUAACACAUGCAAGUCGAGCGAGAAAGAGGACUUCGGUCCUUGAGUACAGCGGCGAACGGGUGCGUAACACGUGGGCAAUCUGUCCUCUGGAUGGGGAUAACCCAGCGAAAGUUGGGCUAAUACCCAAUAAGACCACGGAAAGUUAUUUCUGAGGUCAAAGGGUGCUUCUUUUGGGGGCAUCCGUUAGGGGAGGAGCCUGCGGCCUAUCAGCUUGNGGUUAGGGGUAACGGCCUACCAAGGCAAAGACGGGUAGCCGGCCUGAGAGGGCGACCGGCCACACUGGGA